RNAcentral lists this ribosomal RNA (150 nucleotides) under uncultured bacterium. Its description in RNAcentral is "partial 16S ribosomal RNA". It matches the Rfam family "Bacterial small subunit ribosomal RNA", at positions 1352 to 1500 of the family's 1533-position model. The record is from RNAcentral.
GAAUGCCGCGGUGAAUACGUUCCCGGGUCUUGUACACACCGCCCGUCACACCAUGGGAGUCGGAAAUGCCCGAACGUCUGUGACCCAACCUACGGGAGGGAGCAGCCGAAGGCAGGUCGGAUGACUGGGGUGAAGUCGUAACAAGGUAGC